CUUGCUCUCCUGAUGGUUAGCGGCGGACGGGUGAGUAACACGUAGGCAACCUGCCUGCAAGACCGGGAUAACCCACGGAAACGUGAGCUAAUACCGGAUAUCUCAUUUCCUCUCCUGAGGGAAUGAUGAAAGACGGAGCAAUCUGUCACUUGCGGAUGGGCCUGCGGCGCAUUAGCUAGUUGGUGAGGUAACGGCUCACCAAGGCGACGAUGCGUAGCCGACCUGAGAGGGUGAACGGCCACACUGGGACUGAGACACGGCCCAGACUCCUACGGGAGGCAGCAGUAGGGAAUCUUCCGCAAUGGGCGAAAGCCUGACGGAGCAACGCCGCGUGAGUGAUG
Molecule: ribosomal RNA, 341 nt
Filed under: Paenibacillus sp. HGH0166
Lineage: Bacteria; Bacillati; Bacillota; Bacilli; Caryophanales; Paenibacillaceae
Description: bacterial SSU rRNA
Rfam family: Bacterial small subunit ribosomal RNA
Source: RNAcentral